ACGGAAGGCAGCAGUGAGGAAUAUUGGUCAAUGGGCGCAGGCCUGAACUAGCCAAGUCGCGUGAGGGAUGACGGUCCUACGGAUUGUAAACCUCUUUUGCCGGGGAGUAACAAGCGGUACGCGUACCGCCGUGAGAGUACCCGGAGAAAAAGCAUCGGCUAACUCCGUGCCAGCAGCCGCGGUAAUACGGAGGAUGCGAGCGUUAUCCGGAUUUAUUGGGUUUAAAGGGUGCGCAGGCGGCGCGUCAAGUCAGCGGUCAAAUCCCGGGGCUCAACCUCGGUCCGCCGUUGAAACUGCCGUGCUCGAGUUCGUGCGAGGAGAGCGGAAUGCGUGGUGUAGCGGUGAAAUGCAUAGAUAUCACGCAGAACGCCGAUUGCGAAGGCAGCCCUCCAGCACUGGACUGACGCUCAUGCACGAAAGCGUGGGUAUCGAACAGGAUUAGAUACCCUGGUA
Molecule: ribosomal RNA, 453 nt
Filed under: uncultured Barnesiella sp.
Lineage: Bacteria; Pseudomonadati; Bacteroidota; Bacteroidia; Bacteroidales; Barnesiellaceae
Description: partial 16S ribosomal RNA
Rfam family: Bacterial small subunit ribosomal RNA
Source: RNAcentral